This 572-nucleotide ribosomal RNA is filed under the name uncultured Gammaproteobacteria bacterium. Its description in RNAcentral is "bacterial SSU rRNA". It matches the Rfam family "Bacterial small subunit ribosomal RNA", at positions 929 to 1501 of the family's 1533-position model. Lineage: Bacteria; Pseudomonadati; Pseudomonadota; Gammaproteobacteria. The record is from RNAcentral.
GCGGUGGAGCAUGUGGUUUAAUUCGAUGCAACGCGAAGAACCUUACCAUCCCUUGACAUCCACAGAAGGUCUUAGAGAUAGGACUGUGCCUUCGGGAACUGUGAGACAGGUGCUGCAUGGCUGUCGUCAGCUCGUGUUGUGAAAUGUUGGGUUAAGUCCCGCAACGAGCGCAACCCUUAUCCUUAUUUGCCAGCGAUUCGGUCGGGAACUCUAAGGAGACUGCCGGUGAUAAACCGGAGGAAGGUGGGGACGACGUCAAGUCAUCAUGGCCCUUACGGGAUGGGCUACACACGUGCUACAAUGGUAUGUACAGAGGGAAGCGAACUUGCGAGAGUAAGCGGAGCCCUUAAAGCAUAUCGUAGUCCGGAUUGGAGUCUGCAACUCGNNUCCAUGAAGUCGGAAUCGCUAGUAAUCGCGGAUCAGAAUGCCGCGGUGAAUACGUUCCCGGGCCUUGUACACACCGCCCGUCACACCAUGGGAGUGGGUUGCUCCAGAAGUGGCUAGUCUAACCUUCGGGAGGACGGUCACCACGGAGUGAUUCAUGCCUGGGGUGAAGUCGUAACAAGGUAACA